UUGAUACCAAAUGACAAAAUGAAAAUUUCUUUUCUUUUCUUUUUUUUUGUGGGUUCUGUUUUCUAGGACACAGUUGUAGAAAGAGAAUGCUGUAAGGUCAACUGCAAAGUUUGGGGAGAUGAUGGUAACUCAGGAGAACAAGGGAACCGCGGGAGGAAGGGAGUGACAGGUCUUCAUGGGAUGCCUGGCUAUCCUGGUGAUGAAGGUGGACCUGGAGAAAGGGGCGUUACUGGCUUGCCGGGACCUCGCGGCAAUGGAGGGUGCCCAGGUGAAAGAGGGCUUAAGGUGAGCAUUGACCAGGAGAAGGCGGGAUGAGUCACUGUCCUUGUCUUGUUUUGCCCUCAUUUCCACAGUUCGGUGUGGUUCUUAACCCUUGAAAGGAUUCAGGACAUGACUCUUUAGUGCUGGCUCUUGGUCUGCUAAAAUCCUAUCUUAUAGCUCUUCAGGGGUGUCUACACUAACUCAAACCAGGCAGUCAGUGUCACUGUGG
Molecule: long non-coding RNA, 490 nt
Filed under: Phascolarctos cinereus (koala)
Lineage: Eukaryota; Metazoa; Chordata; Mammalia; Diprotodontia; Phascolarctidae
Description: lncRNA (ENSPCIG00000034815.1)
Source: RNAcentral